GAACGCUGGCGGCAUGCUUUACACAUGCAAGUCGAACGGCAGCACGAAAGAGCUUGCUCUUUUGGUGGCGAGUGGCGAACGGGUGAGUAAUACAUUGGAACGUACCGAGUAAUGGGGGAUAACUGUCCGAAAGGAUGGCUAAUACCGCAUACGCUCUGAGGAGGAAAGCGGGGGACCUUCGGGCCUCGCGUUAUUCGAGCGGCCAAUGUCUGAUUAGCUAGUUGGUGGGGUAAAGGCCUACCAAGGCGACGAUCAGUAGUGGGUCUGAGAGGAUGAUCCGCCACACUGGGACUGAGACACGGCCCAGACUCCUACGGGAGGCAGCAGUGGGGAAUUUUGGACAAUGGGCGAAAGCCUGAUCCAGCCAUGCCGCGUGUCUGAAGAAGGCCUUCGGGUUGUAAAGGACUUUUGUCAGGGAAGAAAGGGUUUGGGUUAAUACCCUGAGCUUAUGAC
Molecule: ribosomal RNA, 453 nt
Filed under: uncultured Neisseria sp.
Lineage: Bacteria; Pseudomonadati; Pseudomonadota; Betaproteobacteria; Neisseriales; Neisseriaceae
Description: bacterial SSU rRNA
Rfam family: Bacterial small subunit ribosomal RNA
Source: RNAcentral